Transfer RNA from Culex pipiens (northern house mosquito), 118 nucleotides. It matches the Rfam family "tRNA". Rfam says of the family: Transfer RNA (tRNA) molecules are approximately 80 nucleotides in length. Their secondary structure includes four short double-helical elements and three loops (D, anti-codon, and T loops). Further hydrogen bonds mediate the characteristic L-shaped molecular structure. tRNAs have two regions of fundamental functional importance: the anti-codon, which is responsible for specific mRNA codon recognition, and the 3' end, to which the tRNAs corresponding amino acid is attached (by aminoacyl-tRNA synthetases). tRNAs cope with the degeneracy of the genetic code in two manners: having more than one tRNA (with a specific anti-codon) for a particular amino acid; and 'wobble' base-pairing, i.e. permitting non-standard base-pairing at the 3rd anti-codon position. The record is from Rfam. Lineage: Eukaryota; Metazoa; Arthropoda; Insecta; Diptera; Culicidae.
GCUUAGAUAACUCUGUUGGUAGAGCGGUGGACUGUAGAUGGAAUUGAAAUUGUUCGUACAACAAUUGGAACAAUUCGCAGUUAUCCAUAGGUCGCUGGUUCAAAUCCGGCUCGAAGGA